This is a long non-coding RNA of Vidua chalybeata, 946 nucleotides long. RefSeq lists it as uncharacterized. The transcript is spliced from 2 exons. The record is from RefSeq and is a predicted model, not a curated record. Lineage: Eukaryota; Metazoa; Chordata; Aves; Passeriformes; Viduidae.
CCUGCACAGUGCUUCGGCAGGAGGGAAACUCGCCUGCCGGGAGCUCUCGGGUUUGGGAGCAUCCACCCUGAGGAUUUCAGGUAUCAAAACCUCGGACAAAAAGAGAAAAUUGUCUUGCUACCUGAAUACUUCUUGUAAGAGCAGCACCUGUGGUGUGAAGCGUUGAAGGGAGAAUGUCUUUCCUUCUCUGGAGUUGCUGAGAACAGGCGGUGUUCAUUUUAGCUGGAAGUUGAUCGGGUACCAGCCAAAUUGCUCAUUUUAUUUUAGAUAAUCAGAUCUUGGCUGUAAAAGAACAAGUUGCAUUUUCUGUUUCAGAGUCCUAUUCUGGAGAUACGACAGAGUGCUGCCCGUGUCACCUCUAGAGCUGCCCAUGAGCCGAUAGAGGAUCACAGCCUCCUCUCGUGGUCCUGCACGGCUUAGAGAAAAGGACCUGCUGCACAGGAAGUGGCACAGUAAUGGAUUUGAGCUGUCUAGAACGUUACUUCUCCUCCCCUUGCCUCUCCCUGACAAAAAAAAUCUCUUCUGCAAGCACAGAGUGCCCUGACAGGUUCAGGCAAGUGCACCAAAAGUGCCCUAGAAUAUGGUCCCCCGUAGGAGAUGGACCAGCUGCUGGUGAGGAUCUGCCUUUCAAAUGUGGUUUUCUUUUCUUUUUUUUCUUUUUGUUCUGUUUCAUUUUGUUUUUCAGGUUUCUGGAGAACCAGGUGAUAAAUAAAAUGAUUUCCUUACUCCAUCCUUUGUGGCUAAUAAAUUUAGGAGACAAGAGAGAAAACAGGAAUCGAUCCCAGAUGCUGCUGUUGAGAUGGGUAUAUGAUCUACCUGUAUAUAGAUAUAUGCGUAUCUAUCUAUAUCUGUGUAGUGAUAAUAAUGGGAGUUUUUAUGAUACGUUGCUUUACUGUCUUCUAUUUUUAAUAAAGUGCGAUUUUAAGUUAUUAGGUAUAACAUUUUA